UGGGUUGAUGCCUGUUGGUUUGGGCGAUUUGUUGUUAACUGAUGUUUUGUGGGAUCAAAGCCCACCAACCCUG
Molecule: transfer RNA, 73 nt
Filed under: Uromastyx ocellata
Lineage: Eukaryota; Metazoa; Chordata; Lepidosauria; Squamata; Agamidae
Source: RNAcentral